AUUGUUUCUCAGCCUUUUGGCUAAGAUCAAGCGUACAUCUAUUCUUUCCAGUUUAAUACUUGAUAUGUCCUCUAUUUGAGGAUGCAAUAUUAAAUGAAUUUUUGGAACUCAGAGAUGGAAUAGGAGCUUGCUCAAUCCACUUCACAUAUUGACCUGGCCUAUCAGUAUUCUCAGAAAUGGUACCCCCAAG
This is a small nuclear RNA of Gorilla gorilla gorilla (western lowland gorilla), 190 nucleotides long. Its record names the gene U2. It matches the Rfam family "U2 spliceosomal RNA". From Rfam's summary of the family: U2 is a small nuclear RNA (snRNA) component of the spliceosome (involved in pre-mRNA splicing). Complementary binding between U2 snRNA (in an area lying towards the 5' end but 3' to hairpin I) and the branchpoint sequence (BPS) of the intron results the bulging out of an unpaired adenosine, on the BPS, which initiates a nucleophilic attack at the intronic 5' splice site, thus starting the first of two transesterification reactions that mediate splicing. NCBI's taxonomy places the organism in Eukaryota, Metazoa, Chordata, Mammalia, Primates, Hominidae. The record is from Ensembl.